RNAcentral lists this ribosomal RNA (1001 nucleotides) under uncultured Ascomycota. RNAcentral's name for it is "eukaryotic LSU rRNA". The stretch from base 634 to 1001 matches the Rfam family "Eukaryotic large subunit ribosomal RNA", at positions 1 to 372 of the family's 3401-position model. The record is from RNAcentral. Lineage: Eukaryota; Fungi; Ascomycota.
UGUACACACCGCCCGUCGCUACUACCGAUUGAAUGGCUCAGUGAGGCGUUCGGACUGGCCCAGGGAGGUCGGCAACGACCACCCAGGGCCGGAAAGUUCGUCAAACUUGGUCAUUUAGAGGAAGUAAAAGUCGUAACAAGGUCUCCGUAGGUGAACCUGCGGAGGGAUCAUUACCGAGCGAGGGCCUCCGGGUCCGACCUCCAACCCCAUGUUAUUCGACCCUGUUGCCUCGGGGGCGACCCGGCCUUCGGGCGUCGGGGCCCCCGGUGGACCACUCAACUCUGCAUCAUUGCGUCCGAGUCACAUAUUGAAUCAAUCAAAACUUUCAACAACGGAUCUCUUGGUUCUGGCAUCGAUGAAGAACGCAGCGAAAUGCGAUAAGUAAUGUGAAUUGCAGAAUUCAGUGAAUCAUCGAAUCUUUGAACGCACAUUGCGCCCCUUGGUAUUCCGAGGGGCAUGCCUGUUCGAGCGUCAUUACACCACUCAAGCCUGGCUUGGUAUUGGGCGUCCGCGGUCCCACGGCCGCGCGCCCUAAUGUCUUCGGCUGAGCCGUCCGUCUCAAAGCGUUGUGGUCAUACAGUUCGCUUGCGAGGCCGGGCCGGCUUGUCGCCGUUAAACCCCCCAUUCAAAGGUUGACCUCGGAUCAGGUAGGGAUACCCGCUGAACUUAAGCAUAUCAAUAAGCGGAGGAAAAGAAACCAACAGGGAUUGCCCUAGUAACGGCGAGUGAAGCGGCAACAGCUCAAAUUUGAAAUCUGGCGCAAGCCCGAGUUGUAAUUUGUAGAGGAUGCUUCUGGGCAGCGGCCGGUCUAAGUUCCUUGGAACAGGACGUCAUAGAGGGUGAGAAUCCCGUAUGCGACCGGUUGGCACCCGUCACGUAGCUCCUUCGACGAGUCGAGUUGUUUGGGAAUGCAGCUCUAAAUGGGAGGUAAAUGCCUUCUAAAGCUAAAUACCGGCCAGAGACCGAUAGCGCACAAGUAGAGUGAUCGAAAGAUGAAAAGC